RNAcentral lists this ribosomal RNA (253 nucleotides) under uncultured bacterium. Its description in RNAcentral is "partial 16S ribosomal RNA". It matches the Rfam family "Bacterial small subunit ribosomal RNA", at positions 524 to 776 of the family's 1533-position model. The record is from RNAcentral.
UACGAAGGGGGCUAGCGUUGCUCGGAAUCACUGGGCGUAAAGGGCGCGUAGGCGGCUUUAUAAGUCGGGGGUGAAAGCCUGUGGCUCAACCACAGAAUUGCCUUCGAUACUGUAGAGCUUGAGACCGGAAGAGGUAAGUGGAACUGCGAGUGUAGAGGUGAAAUUCGUAGAUAUUCGCAAGAACACCAGUGGCGAAGGCGGCUCACUGGUCCGAUACUGACGCUGAGGUGCGAAAGCGUGGGGAGCAAACAGG